Molecule: ribosomal RNA, 1533 nt
Filed under: metagenome
Description: bacterial LSU rRNA
Rfam family: Bacterial large subunit ribosomal RNA
Source: RNAcentral
AAAUUAUGUGAGAAUCAUAAUGGCCGAAAAUCUAAGGUUUCUUGGGGAAGGUUCGUCCGCCCAAGGUAAGCCGGGAGCUAAGGCGAGGCCGCAAGGCGUAGUCGAUGCACAUACGGUUGAAAUUCCGUAGCCACCUUAUCGUUUAAAAGCUGACACAUGGAGAUAGCGGAACCCGGGCGUUGGUUGACCCGGGCGUAAGGGACCGAAAUCAAGUAGGGAAGUCUGCGAUGCUCUGUGGCGAGAAAAGGCGAAGAUAAGGUGCCCGUACCGCAAACUGACACAGGUAGAUGAGGAGAGAAUCCUAAGGCCAACGGGAGAAAGGUUGUUAAGGAACUCGGCAAAAUUGCCCCGUAACUUCGGGAGAAGGGGCGCCUCCGAAAGGAGGCCGCAGUGAAAAGGUCCAAGCGACUGUUUACCAAAAACACAGGUCUCUGCUAAAUCGAAAGAUGACGUAUAGGGGCUGACGCCUGCCCGGUGCUGGAAGGUUAAGAGGAGAGCUUAGCGCAAGCGAAGGCUUGAAUUUAAGCCCCAGUAAACGGCGGCCGUAACAAUAACGGUCCUAAGGUAGCGAAAUUCCUUGUCAGGUAAGUUCUGACCCGCACGAAUGGCGUAACGAUUUGGGCGCUAUCUCAACAGCCUACCCGGCGAAAUUGUAGUACCGGUGAAGAUGCCGGUUACCCGCAACUAGACGGAAAGACCCCAUGGAGCUUUACUGCAGCUUAAUACUGAGAUUCGGUAAUUCAUGUACAGGAUAGGUGGGAGACUUGGAAACAGGGGCGUCAGCUUCUGCGGAGUCACCCUUGGGAUACCACCCUUGGAUUGCUGGGUUUCUAACCUGCGGCCAUGAAUCUGGUCGGGGGACACUGUUAGGCGGGCAGUUUGACUGGGACGGUCGCCUCCUAAAAAGUAGCGGAGGCGCUCAAAGCUUGGCUCAGCAUGGAUGGAAAUCAUGCAAUGAGUGUAAACGUAUAAGCCAAGUUGACUGCGAGACCGACGGGUCGAGCAGGGACGAAAGUCGGAGUUAGUGAUCCGGUGGUAUGUGAGUGGAAAUGCCAUCGCUCAACGGAUAAAAGCUACCCUGGGAUAACAGGCUGAUCUCCCCCAAGCGUCCACAGCGACGGGGAGGUUUGGCACCUCGAUGUCGGCUCGUCGCAUCCUGGGGCUGUAUUCGGUCCCAAGGGUUUGGCUGUUCGCCAAUUAAAGCGGCACGCGAGCUGGGUUCAGAACGUCGUGAGACAGUUCGGUCCCUAUCUGUUGCGGGCGUAAGAGAUUUGAAGGGAGCUGUCCUUAGUACGAGAGGACCGGGAUGGACUGACCUCUGGUGCACCAGUUGUUCUGCCAAGGGCAUAGCUGGGUAGCUACGUCGGGACGAGAUAAACGCUGAAGGCAUCUAAGCGUGAAACUCCCCCUAAGAUAAGAUCUCUCAUCCUGAAAAGGAGUAAGGCUCGUCGUAGACUAUGACGUUGAUAGGUCAGGGGUGGAAGCACAGUAAUGUGUGUAGCUGACUGAUACUAAUAAGCCGAGGGCUUGAUC